GAUGAACGCUAGCUACAGGCUUAACACAUGCAAGUCGAGGGGCAGCGGGAUUGAAGCUUGCUUCAAUUGCCGGCGACCGGCGCACGGGUGAGUAACGCGUAUCCAACCUUCCGUACACUCAGGGAUAGCCUUUCGAAAGAAAGAUUAAUACCUGAUGGUAUCUUAAGCACACAUGUAAUUAAGAUUAAAGAUUUAUCGGUGUACGAUGGGGAUGCGUUCCAUUAGGUAGUAGGCGGGGUAACGGCCCACCUAGCCAACGAUGGAUAGGGGUUCUGAGAGGAAGGUCCCCCACAUUGGAACUGAGACACGGUCCAAACUCCUACGGGAGGCAGCAGUGAGGAAUAUUGGUCAAUGGACGAGAGUCUGAACCAGCCAAGUAGCGUGAAGGAUGAAGGUCCUACGGAUUGUAAACUUCUUUUAUAAGGGAAUAAACCCUCCCACGUGUGGGAGCUUGUAUGUACCUUAUGAAUAAGCAUCGGCUAACUCCGUG
This 490-nucleotide ribosomal RNA is filed under the name uncultured bacterium. RNAcentral describes it as "bacterial SSU rRNA". It matches the Rfam family "Bacterial small subunit ribosomal RNA", at positions 28 to 507 of the family's 1533-position model. The record is from RNAcentral.